UAGGGAAUCUUCCGCAAUGGACGACAGUCUGACGGAGCAACGCCGCGUGAGUGAAGAAGGAUUUCGGUUCGUAAAACUCUGUUGUUAGGGAAGAAAAAAUGUAUAGUAACUAUAUACAAAAGAGACGGUACCUAACCAGAAAGCCACGGCUAACUACGUGCCAGCAGCCGCGGUAAUACGUAGGUGGCAAGCGUUGUCCGGAAUUAUUGGGCGUAAAGCGCGCGCAGGUGGUUUAGAAAGUCUGAUGUGAAAGCCCACGGCUCAACCGUGGAGGGUCAUUGGAAACUAAUAAACUUGAGUGCAGGAGAGAAAAGUGGAAUUCCUAGUGUAGCGGUGAAAUGCGUAGAGAUUAGGAGGAACACCGGUGGCGAAAGCGGCUUUUUGGCCUGCAACUGACACUGAGGCGCGAAAGCGUGGGGAGCAAACAGG
Molecule: ribosomal RNA, 429 nt
Filed under: Verrucomicrobiota bacterium
Lineage: Bacteria; Pseudomonadati; Verrucomicrobiota
Description: Verrucomicrobia bacterium partial 16S ribosomal RNA
Rfam family: Bacterial small subunit ribosomal RNA
Source: RNAcentral